GUUAUUAAUGGCCGCCCUUAUGUAACAGCCCCUCAGAUUGCAUUUUAAGUGUUUAGUGAAUAUAUCGAAGAAAAAUAAACUACUUGUUCAAAUUAUGAAUCAACGUGAGUCAUAAUGGACCAUGAAGUCAAUGUCAGGUUGUGACAAUGGUCGGUGAUGGAGUUCCUCCUCAAGGCUAGCGAUGACUCUGCCACAUCGAUUCACAGGAAGUUGCUCCCUGUUUAUGGGGAGGAAACAGUGGAUCACAGCAGUAUCCAGCGAUGGUUGCAGAGGUUUAAAGAAGGUGAUUUCUCUCUACUGGACAAUCCAGGAUGUGGUAGAUCAUUGACGGCAGUGAGUGAUGUGAAUAAAGAGACCAUUGAUCAACUCAUCCAAAAUGACAGAUGUGUGAUGACACAACACCUUACUGAAAUGGCUCGUUUGUCAUUGGGUAGUGUGGUAUCACUGGUACAGUCACUAGGUUACAGAAAAAUCUGUGCAGAUGGGUGCCCAUAUGACGCAGGAGAAAAUCAGGAAGAUGGGUUGGAAAAUCGUGCCUCAUCCUCCCUGCAGUCCAGGAUUGGCUUUAUCUAAUUGUUAUCUCUUUGGUCGUCUGAAGGCCCACCUGUGCAGUAAAACAUUUGAUAGUGAGAAAGACCUUAUUUGCUGUGUCAAGUGGUGGUGUAAAAGUCAAUCCCCAGAAUUUUACCAAAGUGCAUUUACAUUAUGGAAAGAACGUUGGGCCAGAUGUGCACUACAUUGAGUAGGCUCAAUGUAUAGCUACAAGUUCCAAG
Long non-coding RNA from Schistocerca cancellata (South American locust), 773 nucleotides. RefSeq lists it as uncharacterized. NCBI's taxonomy places the organism in Eukaryota, Metazoa, Arthropoda, Insecta, Orthoptera, Acrididae. The transcript is spliced from 2 exons. The record is from RefSeq and is a predicted model, not a curated record.